GGGGGUGUGGUGUAAUGGACAAGCACUAUAGCCUUCCAAGCUGUUAGUCAGGGUUCGAAUCCCUGUACCCCCU
RNAcentral lists this transfer RNA (73 nucleotides) under marine sediment metagenome. Its description in RNAcentral is "tRNA-Gly". It matches the Rfam family "tRNA". Rfam says of the family: Transfer RNA (tRNA) molecules are approximately 80 nucleotides in length. Their secondary structure includes four short double-helical elements and three loops (D, anti-codon, and T loops). The record is from RNAcentral.